ACGGCCUCUGCCCUCGGAAGACUGAAGCGUCUUCACUUCCGGGCCCUGAGGAGAAUCCUCGCUCUGCUCCGGGAGGGCCUCCUUUUUCCGGCGCUUAAGGCGACUUCCGCUUUGACUUCGAGCCUGCUGUGUGCCUGCUUCUCAGGCUUGCCUGCCAGCAGCAGACCCCAUCUUCCUCAUCCUCCCAGCCAAGGACCACCUCCGAGGAACCUGCACACCCUCUUCCUCAAAACCGCCAGGGGAGGCCCAGGAGCAGGAAGGGACUGGUUUCCAGGCUCCUCGGUCCCUCAUAAGGACACGCGCACUUUGUCCUUGUGUGCCUGUCCAGCCCCACAACAGGCACCUGACUUUCCUAUUAUUAAGGCUAAUCCUCUUUAGCUCUUCCUUGGUUUCCGACAGCAAAACCAAAUGAAAUUCAAGAAGUGGAAUUUUAGGCCAGAGGCUAGCCUAAAAACUGCAAGUCUUCAUAAUUAACGAAAGGAAUCUAAAAAAAGAGAUGAAAUGUCGCUGCUCCUUUGCAGCUGUUGAGGAAGGAGCAUCGUUUUGCAUCCAUAAAACUACUUAGAAGAACCUGAUCUCAUCUUAAAUUGAGAACUCCCACAAGGAAUGCCAUCUUUAUGCAAUAUGGACAUGAGAAUAUUCAUAACGGUAACCAAAUGGGAAUGUUCUCUGUGAAAACAAAUCUGUCUUUUGAAGAGUUCUGAACAAAGAGGUCUGAUAAGACUCCCAAGCCUUCAGAAAUUAUUGCCAUGAACUGUGAAAAUAACCUCCAACCCUGUCCCUCUGUAAUUCUGAUCUGUUGUCUUACUAGAUCAUUUAUUUCACUGGUUAUAAUGUUGUGAUAGAUGUCUCCCAUCAAUGUAUUCCCAAGAGAUAAUAUACUUGUAAAAAUUUUUCUGUCAAUCAGAAAAUAAUCAUCGGCACUUUCCUCCUCUCUCCCAUGCAUGAUGUCACAAUUAAAAGCUUAUGAGUUUGCUAGGCUUAUUAUUUAACAAA
Orcinus orca (killer whale) is the source of this 996-nucleotide long non-coding RNA. RefSeq lists it as uncharacterized. The record is from RefSeq and is a predicted model, not a curated record. NCBI's taxonomy places the organism in Eukaryota, Metazoa, Chordata, Mammalia, Artiodactyla, Delphinidae. The transcript has 2 exons.